This is a long non-coding RNA of Myxocyprinus asiaticus (Chinese sucker), 1046 nucleotides long. RefSeq lists it as uncharacterized. The transcript has 4 exons. The record is from RefSeq and is a predicted model, not a curated record. Lineage: Eukaryota; Metazoa; Chordata; Actinopteri; Cypriniformes; Catostomidae.
CCUUGCUUCAGUGCUUCCGUUAUUCAACAGUAACAACAAACUGCAACACUAGGUUUCCAUAAGCUGAUUCUUCAGCACCUAAGGACACUGGCAGAGGAUGUCAGACAAUAGCAGUACCAGACUACAGUAACCUGAAACAUAUUAAUGCAGUUAACUAAUGGAUCUCAUGAGGACAUGGCUCUGCCAGAGGACAUUGUGCUUCCUCUGAAGAACAAGCUGAUGCUGGAGGAGCUUGAAUAUCUGCUUGCUGAAAAUGUAGAGCUUCAGGAGAAAAUGCUCAUUUAUACAAUUAGUAAAUGGUGAGGACUCUGUGAGGAGGAUAUUUUCCUGCAUUUUUUCGAAUGACCUGUGCAAGCUAUGCAACUGGACCGGCAUGGGACAGAAGAUUGCUGUUAGGCAGCUAGCCUUAAAAAAAAAAAAAUUGUUCACAGAGCCAUAAGAAAGAAACCCACUACAAAAGAGGCAACAGAGGAGGAGCCUCCAAGAGGUGGUCUCACUUUCUAAAAAGAGCUGCUGACAGGGAAGGUGGUAGAAAAUAAAGAACUGAAGAGCUUAAUUGCAUCAUACACGUCAAAUAUACAAAACAGAACUAAAAGAAAUAAAGCGUUCCUUUACUCAAGAAAUUAUUUUCGGGGCCUGGGUAGCUCAGUGGUAUAAUACGCUGGCUACCACCCCUGGAGUUCACUAGUUCGAAUCCCAGGGCGUGCUGAUUGACUCCAGCCAGGUCUCCUAAGCAACCAAAUUGGCCUGGUUGCUAGGGAGGGUAGAGUCACAUGGGGUAACCUCCUCGUGGUCGCUAUAAUGUGGUUCAUUCUCAGUGGGGCGCACGGUGAGUUGAGCGUGGUUGCCGCGGUGGAUGCCGUGAAGCCUCCACACGCGCUAUGUCUCCGUGGCAAUGCGCUCAACAAGCCACGUGAUAAGAUGCACGGGUUGACCGUCUCCGAAGCAGAGGCAACUGGGAUUCGUCCUCCGCCACCCGGAUUGAGGCGAAUCGCUACGCGACCGCGAGGACUUAAAAAGCACAUUGGGAAUUGGGCAUUCCAAAU